Molecule: ribosomal RNA, 162 nt
Filed under: Triticum aestivum (bread wheat)
Lineage: Eukaryota; Viridiplantae; Streptophyta; Magnoliopsida; Poales; Poaceae
Description: partial small subunit ribosomal RNA
Source: RNAcentral
AUGGAUCCUAUAUCAGAUUUCAUGGCCUCAAGCCAUUUGUCAGAAUUCAGGCUCAUCAUUGCUUCUUCAUAUUUCCUAGGUUCGCCGUUGUCUAACAACAUGACUUCCAGGACGGGAUUACCGUACCACUCCGGUGUGGAACGUGUCCUGGUUGACCUAUGA